RNAcentral lists this ribosomal RNA (479 nucleotides) under uncultured bacterium. Its description in RNAcentral is "bacterial SSU rRNA". It matches the Rfam family "Bacterial small subunit ribosomal RNA", at positions 25 to 518 of the family's 1533-position model. The record is from RNAcentral.
CAGGAUGAACGCUGGCGGCGCGCCUAACACAUGCAAGUCGAACGGUUAAGCCCCUCGGGGUGCAUAAAGUGGCGAACGGCUGAGUAACACGUGGGCAACCUGCCCCCCGCUUCGGGAUAGCCUCGGGAAACCGUGGGUAAUACCGGAUACUCCGCCCACCCCGCAUGGGGAGGGCGGGAAAGCGCAUACGGCGGGGGAUGGGCCCGCGGCCUGUUAGCUCGUUGGCGGGGUAACGGCCCACCAAGGCUAUUAUGGGUAGCCGGGUUGAGAGACCGACCGGCCAGAUUGGGACUGAGACACGGCCCAGACUCCUACGGGAGGCAGCAGUGGGGAAUCUUGCACAAUGGGCGAAAGCCUGAUGCCAGCGACGCCGCGUGCGGGAUGAAGGCCCUCGGGUUGUAAACCGCUUUCAGCAGGGACGAGGCGCAAGUGACGGUACCUGCAGAAGAAGCCCCGGCUAACUACGUGCCAGCCGCCGC